GAAGGAUCUCGCGCAGCUUGGUAGCGCGUUUGUUUUGGGGACAAAAUGUCACGGGUUCAAAUCCUGUCAUCCCUACCUAUUACUGAUUCUUUAAGCAGUAACGCGC
Molecule: transfer RNA, 106 nt
Filed under: Helianthus annuus (common sunflower)
Lineage: Eukaryota; Viridiplantae; Streptophyta; Magnoliopsida; Asterales; Asteraceae
Description: hypothetical non coding rna
Rfam family: tRNA (bases 2-75)
About the family: Transfer RNA (tRNA) molecules are approximately 80 nucleotides in length.
Source: RNAcentral